This 1633-nucleotide ribosomal RNA is filed under the name marine sediment metagenome. Its description in RNAcentral is "bacterial LSU rRNA". It matches the Rfam family "Bacterial large subunit ribosomal RNA", at positions 399 to 1996 of the family's 2925-position model. The record is from RNAcentral.
AAUAUGUUCCCAAGUACCACGAAGUAAGUGGAAUUUUGUGGGAAUUUGCCAGAACCAUCUGGUAAGGCUAAAUACUCUCCCGUAACCGAUAGUGAAUAAGUACCGUGAGGGAAAGGUGAAAAGUACUCCUUAUAGGAGAGUGAAAUAGUACCUGAAACCGUGUGCUUACAAGCAGUAGGAGUCCCGAUUUAUCGGGAUGACUGCGUGCCUUUUGGAUAAUGAGCCAACGAGUUACUCGUAUGUUGCAAGGUUAAUCCCUUAAGCGGAGAAGCCGUAGCGAAAGCAAGUCUUAAUCGGGCGAUUGAAGUAACAUGCGGUAGACGCGAAACCGGGUGAGCUACCCUUGUCCAGGAUGAAGUGAGGGUAAAACCUCAUGGAGGUCCGAACCAGUGUGGGUUGAAAACCGCUUGGAUGAGGUGAGGGUAGGGGUGAAAGGCCAAUCAAACCCGGAAAUAGCUCGUAUUCCUCGAAAUAGCUUUAGGGCUAGCCUCGAGUUAAAGUGUAACGGAGGUAGAGCACUGAUUGGGCUAGGGCUGUCACAACGGUACCAAACCCAGACAAACUCCGAAUUCCGUAUACAUGUUUCUCGGGAGUCAGGCAGUGAGGGAUAAGCUUCAUUGCCGAGAGGGGAACAACCCAGACCACCAACUAAGGUCCCCAAAUGGUAGUUAACAGAGAAAGGAUGUUAAGUUGCUCUGACAACUAGGAUGUUGGCUUAGAAGCAGCCAUUCAUUUAAAGAGUGCGUAAUAGCUCACUAGUCAAGCGACUUGGCGUCGACAAUACUCGGGACUUAAACUACCUACCGAAGUUGUGGGAUUCUGACUUGUCAGGAUCGGUAGAGGAACAUUCUAUAUGCGCUGAAGGCAAACUGCGAGGUUUUCUGGAGCGUAUAGAAAAGCAAAUGUUGGCAUAAGUAACGAUAAACCAGAUGAGAAAUCUGGUCACCGAAAGUCUAAGGUUUCCUGAGCAAUGCUAAUCAUCUCAGGGUUAGUCGGUCCCUAAGCCGAGGCCGAAAGGCGUAGGCGAUGGAUAACAGGUUAAUAUUCCUGUACCUGGUAAAUUUUGUUCGACCGCAAGGAGGGACGCAGGAGUGAAGAUCAGCCACCUGUUGGAUUAGGUGGUCUAAGCAAGUAGGCCGAAAGUGUAGGCAAAUCCGCACUUUCUUAAAGCCGAGAUGCGAACGGGAGUCCGUAGGACAUAAACUGAUCGUAAACAUACUGCCAAGAAAAUCUUCGUGCGGGAGAAAUUUAUUAGACCGUACCGCAAACCGACACAGGUAGACAGGAUGAGUAUUCUAAGGUGCUCGAGUGAGCCGUGGUUAAGGAACUCGGCAAAUUCACCCCGUAACUUCGGGAGAAGGGGUGCCCCCGGUAGGUGAAACUCUUCGCGAGUUUAGCUGAAAGGGGCCGCAGUGAAAAGGCCCAGGCGACUGUUUAACAAAAACACAUGUCUCUGCGAAGUCAAUUAAGACGAUGUAUAGGGACUGACACCUGCCCGGUGCUGGAAGGUUAAGAGGAGAGGUUAUCCCUUCGGGGAGAAGCUUUGAAUCGAAGCCCCAGUAAACGGCGGCCGUAACUAUAACGGUCCUAAGGUAGCGAAAUUCCUUGUCGGGUAAGUUCCGACCUGCACGAA